CCUACGGGUGGCAGCAGUGGGGAAUAUUGGGCAAUGGAGGAAACUCUGACCCAGCAACGCCGCGUGAAGGAUGAAGGUUUUCGGAUUGUAAACUUCUGUCGCGAGGGAUGAAGAAUGACGGUACCUCUUGAAUAAGCCACGGCUAACUACGUGCCAGCAGCCGCGGUAAUACGUAGGUGGCAAGCGUUGUCCGGAUUUACUGGGUGUAAAGGGCGUGUAGCCGGGCUGACAAGUCAGAUGUGAAAUCCGGGGGCUCAACCCCCGAACUGCAUUUGAAACUGUUGGUCUUGAGUAUCGGAGAGGCGGGCGGAAUUCCUAGUGUAGCGGUGAAAUGCGUAGAUAUUAGGAGGAACACCAGUGGCGAAGGCGACCUGCUGGACGACAACUGACGGUGAGGCGCGAAAGCGUGGGGAGCAAACAGGAUUAGAUACCCCGGUAGUC
This 441-nucleotide ribosomal RNA is filed under the name uncultured bacterium. RNAcentral describes it as "partial 16S ribosomal RNA". It matches the Rfam family "Bacterial small subunit ribosomal RNA", at positions 338 to 795 of the family's 1533-position model. The record is from RNAcentral.